Molecule: long non-coding RNA, 590 nt
Filed under: Setaria italica (foxtail millet)
Lineage: Eukaryota; Viridiplantae; Streptophyta; Magnoliopsida; Poales; Poaceae
Description: long non-coding RNA (SITA_LNC002365)
Source: RNAcentral
CAUUACGUUACUUUUGCAGUUAAGAUGAUGUUUUCCUCUACCAUUUGUAAAAGGAAUUGUCAUUUUUACCCUUAUCUUCUUCACGGCAGCAACAGCUAAAUCCCAUCUCAGCUGCUUCCUCUCCACCAGAGCAUUCAGCAGGGCAGCAGGCAACAACUCACAUCUCCACCUCCCUCUUACCAAGCAGAAGCUGUGGGUCAUCUCCUUUCUUCUUCCCCAUGAGCCGAGCUGCACAUCCACCAGUAGCAGGCUAGCAGCUUGUUAUAUCUCCAUCGAUUCUUGCAGCACCACAAAAUCAAGCAGCUGUAGCUCAAAUCAGCAAUCGCCAGAGCAGAUCCACGGCACCGCCAAUUGAAAAACACGAAAACCACCAUCUCCUUUUUUUCUCUCGAUUCCUCCCCCAUGCCAACCACGAGCUCUGCUCCUCCCCUCCCUUGCGAACAGCAGCAGAGCAAGCAGGGCAAAUAGCAAAUGAGGUGCCCGUGCUCGUGCAGCUGCGUGUAGCCGGGCAUUACGCCCAGGCCACCGUCACAUCCUGCAGCACUGCCAUGCUGGAGCCGUGUUAGUCAUGGGGAAGUGAGGGUCGCAUU